AGGCGAUGAUGAGGACGGCCAUAGUGUGAGAGAGUUUCAUCCUUUCAAGGCUAGAGUUUCCUUCUUUUUAUCCCUGUAGUAGAGAGAUAAAGCCCGGAGAGGAGGUGUUGAGUGGCCGCUGCAGGAGGCGCAGGCAGAACUGCAGCAGUGUGGGAAGUCCUCCCUUCACCUUGCUGAAAAGCUGGUAGAGGAGGGCCAGCUCAGUCGUACGAUUCUCAUCCAGCAGGGUACCCAGACCUGGCACAAAAAUAUUACACUAUUAUUGUAUGUGCAUAUUAAAAAAUUAAAAUUCAACUGCAUUUUAAAAAUUUCA
Long non-coding RNA from Sebastes umbrosus (honeycomb rockfish), 313 nucleotides. RefSeq lists it as uncharacterized. NCBI's taxonomy places the organism in Eukaryota, Metazoa, Chordata, Actinopteri, Perciformes, Sebastidae. The transcript has 2 exons. The record is from RefSeq and is a predicted model, not a curated record.